GAAAUGCGAUAAGUAAUGUGAAUUGCAGAAUUCAGUGAAUCAUCGAAUCUUUGAACGCACCUUGCGCUCCUUGGUAUUCCGAGGAGCAUGCCUGUUUGAGUGUCAUGAAAUUCUCAACCUAACGGGUUCUUAACGGGACUUGCUUAGGCUUGGACUUGGAGGUUCUUGUCGGCUUGCUUCAAUGUCAAGUCGGCUCCUCUUAAAUGCAUUAGCUUGGUUCCUGUGCGGAUCGGCUCACGGUGUGAUAAUUGUCUACGCCGCGACCGUUGAAGCGUUUUAUAGGCCAGCUUCUAGUCGUCUCUUUACGAGACAAUAAUCAUCGAACUCUGACCUCAAAUCAGGUAGGACUACCCGCUGAACUUAA
Molecule: ribosomal RNA, 364 nt
Filed under: Panus sp. 271-259
Lineage: Eukaryota; Fungi; Basidiomycota; Agaricomycetes; Polyporales; Panaceae
Description: eukaryotic LSU rRNA
Rfam family: 5.8S ribosomal RNA (bases 1-105)
Source: RNAcentral